ACGGGAGACACACGGCGGGUGCUAACGUCCGUCGUGAAGAGGGAAACAACCCAGACCGCCAGCUAAGGUCCCAAAGUCAUGGUUAAGUGGGAAACGAUGUGGGAAGGCCCAGACAGCCAGGAUGUUGGCUUAGAAGCAGCCAUCAUUUAAAGAAAGCGUAAUAGCUCACUGGUCGAGUCGGCCUGCGCGGAAGAUGUAACGGGGCUAAACCAUGCACCGAAGCUGCGGCAGCGACACUGUGUGUUGUUGGGUAGGGGAGCGUUCUGUAAGCCUGUGAAGGUGGCCUGUGAGGGUUGCUGGAGGUAUCAGAAGUGCGAAUGCUGACAUAAGUAACGAUAAAGCGGGUGAAAAGCCCGCUCGCCGGAAGACCAAGGGUUCCUGUCCAACGUUAAUCGGGGCAGGGUGAGUCGACCCCUAAGGCGAGGCCGAAAGGCGUAGUCGAUGGGAAACGGGUUAAUAUUCCCGUACUUGGUGUUACUGCGAAGGGGGGACGGAGAAGGCUAUGUUGGCCGGGCGACGGUU
Molecule: ribosomal RNA, 522 nt
Filed under: Salmonella enterica subsp. enterica serovar Kentucky
Lineage: Bacteria; Pseudomonadati; Pseudomonadota; Gammaproteobacteria; Enterobacterales; Enterobacteriaceae
Description: partial 23S ribosomal RNA
Rfam family: Bacterial large subunit ribosomal RNA
Source: RNAcentral